UGCUGUGUUGUAAAAUAAUAAACCUUUUUGAAUCAGUAAAAGUGUGUGAUCACCUGCGUUGGGAGUUACAUAUUUUUUCUUGCCGUUCAUUCUCAGCCCUACUAUAGCGUCUUUGAGCAAAAGGACUUUCACUUCCUGCUCUAAAAUGUAGCCAAACCUUAUCGUGUGUAGCAUACAUUGCUUCAACCAGGCAGCUAACACGCAUGUGCUCUGAAAUUUAAUGUUUCUCUGGCUACCACUCAGGAGCUUCUGCAGUGAGACGCAAUAGGUUUGUUCGACAUCGGCUGUGGCUGGAUGCAACCGAUCGGCGAGAUUAGCCGCGUACAGGUGGGGAGGAGCUGAAAACGGAGACGUGAAGUCGAACACACCUAAUGACUUUACCUUUGACAAUUGGCUCUUUUAUUUAGAAGGCGAGACUUAUUCCACCAUACCACGCGUUUUGCACUGACUUAUCCAAUUUUAUAAUAAAUUAUAAAUUGUCCGUCUUGCUGUUAUAUCUAAAGUUUUCGUGCAGACUCUGCUCAAAGAGCACAGAGAUGAUAGCAAAGAAGUAAAGCUAACGAAAGCAGCCAUGGCACUAAACGAGCAAUCGUUAUUAUAAUCCAAAUGGGCAAACAGUAUAAAUUAUUAUGCAAGUUGACCUGAGAAACAACAAAUGUAAAACUGCGUUAUUCAUCACCGUGACUGUAAAGUGGACUUUUAAAGCUGGAAUAAUGAGUGGAUUAAGCAUUUCAAUUGUCAAGAGAGGAAUAACAUGGAUGGAACUUUUUUGGCAAUGAGGAUUGUGCAUACAAGGAGGGAGAAGGCAAACUUCUAUGGGAUCACUCCUCUCGCCUGCCGAGUGUGGCGUUGUGCCCAGGCGAGUUGUGGAUUUCUCGCGCUGUGCCGUGUGCCCUCCUUCCUCUCUCCCACCGUCCGUUUAAGUGUGGCUGGAGCCUGGACGUGUGUGGUUCUCUCUCUGACCCAGUGUGUGUGCUCAUCGCCUUUUUGCCGUCUGUCUCUGUGUGGCCUUGGUGCCCAGACGUGCUACUGACUCUCCUUAAUAUUUUAUUUCAAUAAAUAUUUCUGUUCAUCUG
Non-coding RNA from Misgurnus anguillicaudatus (oriental weatherfish), 1076 nucleotides. The record is from RefSeq and is a predicted model, not a curated record. Lineage: Eukaryota; Metazoa; Chordata; Actinopteri; Cypriniformes; Cobitidae.